Long non-coding RNA from Hippocampus zosterae (dwarf seahorse), 3520 nucleotides. RefSeq lists it as uncharacterized. Lineage: Eukaryota; Metazoa; Chordata; Actinopteri; Syngnathiformes; Syngnathidae. The transcript is spliced from 4 exons. The record is from RefSeq and is a predicted model, not a curated record.
CUCUUCGCAAACACCUUGUCGUCAUAGAGAUGAGGCCGGCCAGAGCCUCUCCGAGCGCUAAGGCAACCGACAAUGCUGAGGAUAGAAGAGAGGAGGAAGCUGGAUUUCUGUUUGGAGCAGCAACACACAUACACAUGCAUAGCUGUCCACAUGUUCGACAUUCCGCCUCCACCUGAUCGAGCUUUCCCGCAGGCAGCGGCCAUCUUGCAACAUCUGCGUACAGAGGAACCGCUAAAGCAUCAGUUUCUGCAUUUUGAGAAGAAGAUUGACACGCUGUCUCUGCCGGAGAACACUGACAAGAGAACUUGAACAACAAGCCUUCCAAGCUGACCUUCAGCGCACUCAAAUACCAAGAUUUACUGGAGGAGAUGAUGACGGACAGCCGCUUCAACAUGUCGCAGCAUAUUGCAAGAAUCCGCUGAAGGACUUGUCUCGUGGUUUCGUGUCCUAAAGCAACAUGAACAAACUUACAACUCAGAAAGCAAGACAACUGGCCCGCGGCUUAACCAGUGAGACACACACACACACACACACACACACACACACACACACACACACACACACACACACACACACACACACACACACACACACACACACACACACACACACACACACGCACACACACACACACACACACACACACACACACACACACACACACGCACACACACACACACACACACACACACCUAAUAAACAUCAAGGUUUGACUUUUGGCCUGUGGACUCCUGGUGGUCCCCAGGAAACCACAAGUGGUCUCUAUGAGUAAUUUAGGCUGGAUUUAAGAUGCCAAACUUCACUGAUGAUUUAAAGCCUAUAUAUUUUUCUGAAUUUCCCUGCACAUUUUAAGUGACACAUUUUUCAAUGGCCUUGUUUACGUUCACUGAAAACAUAAAACAAACCAGAUGCGCGGACCGAAUUGCGCAUACUGUAAAUAACGCGCCAACACAGGGUAAUGACAACACAGCAGUAAAGUGGGGGGUGAGGGGGCUGGGUGGAUGGUAGGUGGUCUUUAGAGCCUCUCCAAGCAUAAAUGUCUGUGCACAUGCAAUAUACGCACAGAAAUAUGCUUUCCUGACACUUUUCAAAAAUCUGCUUGCAACAUUUGCACAACACUCCUCAAUUGGCAUGAAUGUAACCGGCAAGUUUAAAAUUCUGUUUCAGAUGGUACAAACUUAAUUGAAUGAUGCCCCUUUGGAAGUCCCACAGGUUCAAACUGUGCUCAACUGCACGCGCUCAGUGUCUGGUAAGGAAAAUGAACAGCAGGUGAAGAGGGUGUUGGAAAAAAAAAACAUUCACUCCCGACAAACUGCUGCCAUUCAGGUAAACGCGCAUUCAUGUGAAAAGCUGAGAACUAGCUAGCGCUGAGACAGUCUUUAGCAUUUCCCUUGUCAAAGGCAACUGCCUUAUUUUGUUCAGUACGAGUGCUGGAGACACUGCAGCUUGAGAUCAAAGCGAAAAUGAAAAAAAAGGUGCAAUAAGUAGAAGAAAGACAAUUGGAGUUGAGGCCAAAGGCAGCAAACAGUUUGAAUGCAGAUCUGCUGCCCCUCCUUCAGUGUAUGUCAGGGAAGCUCCUCUGCCUUUGGCUUCCUCUCGUUUGCUUCAAGCAGUGUAAUUGUGAUUUCACGGCCAGUUGGAUUCUGUCACUCCCAAUGACUUUGCCUUCUAUAUAAAACCGUUGGUCAUGUAUUUAAACUGAGAGUGAUGGGGCGGUCACCUUAAUAAUGGAUUUUCUCUGAGGCAGAGAAGCAAAUGUGCUUGAGAUGAGAGCACUGUUGAAUUUUUUUCUGUUGUUGGCUAGACGCAACUUAUUUGCAGUCCAAAGUGGCAUUGACUAAAUGUCUGCUUUUCAUUAAUAAUUCAAAUGCUAAAAAAAAGUUCUUCUCUGCUGGCCAGAACACAAACAGAAGCACUGACCCACAUCCAAACAAUUGAAAGGAGCUUUGGGGAAGAAUACAUUAAAAAAAAAACAGCCAAACACCAUAGACGGUCAAACAAAUUGCAUCCGGUUUUAUAAACUCUUACGCAACAGAUAUUUGAACGCAAACCGUGCAGCCACCUGUGUAGACAGACAUAACACCCACAGGCGUAUAUUCAUAUGAAAAUAUUUUUAAAAUAUUAAAAUUCAGCAAAAUUCUUGUGUGUGCAUCUGUAUUACACGGCCCCCUGGCGGCCAUGGUAAGCAUACCAGGAGGAGCCCGAUGUGGGUGUGGAACAGACUGAUGUUUUCGUUCAUUUCAAGAAAUAAGGAUGCUUUUUGAUCAAGAAAUGAUUUUGAAAGAAGUGAUUUUGAGCAAAAUGUUUGUAAUUAGGAUCACAAUUUUGGGACAGACUUUCAACCAAAAUAGAAAAAAAAAUCGUAGCAAGAAAUGACAACACAUUUUAUUUUCAUUUGUGGGCCACAUAAAGGCCUCGAGUUUCAAGGUGGGGUAUUAAAAUUGUAUAUAUUGUAUUGUAUAUAUUCUGGAGAAAAUAAAUGAAUAAAUAAAACUGAAGUUUCAUUUUCUUACAUAAACUGCUAGCCAAGUGUGGUAUACCUCCAAUUUGCAGAUCUGAUGCAGACAGCCAAGUCCGUUUUAAGAUGCCGUUUAUUCUCACAAUUGGUUACAUUGAUAACGUGUACAAAUCAGUGAGCAGCAAACAGGAGCCUACACAUCCAUUGGCAGGAAAUGGAGUGUGUUGUUGUUGUUUAUGAGAAACUGGGAGCCCUCUGCAUGCAUCCUCUUCCUCCUCCAGCAGAGAACUCCCAGCUCCCGGUGUAUAGUUGCACUUUUUUUUUCCUUCUGCAAAGCGGAGCCUGUUGGAGCGUUGCGAGUACUGAAACAAAGACUCAGAGUGAGACCUCAACAGCCUCCAUGAAUAAAAUCAGUAUAUACUUUUAUAAAAUAGAAUAAAUAAAAUAAAAAUAUUUCUGUUCAGUACAUACAGUCUUCCUCUCAAUCGCCCUGGGGCUUGCAAGGCAUUGCAACGACUCUUGCCAUGAAAAGAAUGCAUAGAUAAUUGCCUAUCAGGCGUCAACUUAAUUGACAACUGUGAGAAAAAAAAAAGUCAUUAUUUGCUUUCCUCGUUUUUUUUUCAUAUCUACAAGUUAUAUGUUACACAUUGGCCAUUUGGUGAGUUAAAAAAAGAAAAAAGGCAUUUCAAUAAAAUAGAAGAGUACAGACAUUCAAAAUGAAAGGAAUAGCUUAUGACAACAAUAAAUGGCAAAUGUUACCUUAUAUGGAGAUUAUGUACAUACAUUUGUCAACCCGUUCACAUUUCAGUCAGACAAAAGGUGGCGAGAAGGGCUACUUAUUGUUGCCAGGUUAUUUUCCUGUCAAUGGGAAGAAUGUGCUCAUUUCUCAUGUGUGUUGCUUUCGGGUUUUUUGUUCGGCUAUAAAUAGUUACAUCCAUAAAAGAAAAAGGAAAAAAAAGCUCAAAAUAUUCUUGUGAAAAAUAAGUCACGUGAGGAGAGUGUGGCACUGGUGAAAACAAAAAGACAGGAAGUAAGGAUGUAUGCAGUUAAAAAAAAACUAAA